AUUUUUAUGAUUUUUUUUUUGCGGUUUGGUUGUAACAUUUUUCUUUUUCUAUUUUCUUAAUUAAUUAUCAUUGAUUAUUGAGAGUGAAGUAAUCGCUCUUACAAACAAAGUCAUCAUUUCAUGUUAUUUCUUAAAGAAACGUGUUCUAGACCAAUGUUUACCAACCUUUUUCCUUAACGGAUUACUUCGCACAUCCUGAACAUUUAGCGGAACACUUUGAUUAUUUUUUUAGAGAGAUUUUAAAUCACGUGGUGGCCUAUUAGUUAAUUAUUACAAUAGUUCUUGGAACACCUAAUUCAGGCAUCUCGGAACACGGGUUUUUGGCGAAUAGUUAGGGAAAAAUUGUUCUAGAGCAUUCCACUUCACCUAAUAUAUGUUGGUGGUUCAAAACAAUUUUUUUACAAUAUCUUCAUCAGAUUCUUAUUGCCUAGUCAAACUGACCUAAAUACACUGUGUCACAACCUGAAUUACUGAUGUAGAACCUACCUUGUAUAAUGCUUAGUAUUUAGUGGAGAUGGUGAUUGUCUGCAUCUUACAAUCAUAUGUAAAAUAAGAAAUAAUGCUUGACUAUUUAUUUUCAUGAAUAAUAAUAAAAUAUUUCUUAUUAAGAUGUUCACCUGUACCUUUUGUAUGUAUACUAUCUUUAUCCUUCGAUCUAUAAAUUAAUUAAUCAUAUUAGAUUGCACUUGAUAACAAAAAUAAAUAUAUAUUUUAAAA
Molecule: non-coding RNA, 717 nt
Organism: Biomphalaria pfeifferi
Lineage: Eukaryota; Metazoa; Mollusca; Gastropoda; Planorbidae
Source: the annotation of a GenBank genome assembly